This is a long non-coding RNA of Cuculus canorus (common cuckoo), 2165 nucleotides long. RefSeq lists it as uncharacterized. The transcript has 4 exons. The record is from RefSeq and is a predicted model, not a curated record. Lineage: Eukaryota; Metazoa; Chordata; Aves; Cuculiformes; Cuculidae.
UGUAGCUUAUUACUUUAAUCAUAUCCUUGCAGGACAAAUGCAAGCAGUGGAGUUGAAUUUGGGCAGCAAAGAGUUCCCUUAUGCCUCUUUUACACCAAGGAUGUGAAAAAUAACUCAAAAAAAAAUGUCACCAUUUCCACCGUGUGUGCGUACAUGUGUGAGAACUGUGAGGGGAAGACUGGAACUGUGGUUAAUGUUACUGGCUUUGGAAUGAAGAAAUACGUUUGCUGUAUGUAAGCCAAGACCCUCACCAGAUGGCAAACCUUUCAGCUGAGAUGGAUUAGGAUAGGAUGACAUGAGAGCAGACAAGGAGCACUGUACUGAAGCUGAUGAUUUUUCACAGGACUACGGCCUUAGACCUUCUGCUUUCUGUGUAGGUUAAUAGAAACCUCUUCCUGCAGGUGCCUACAAUCAUUCUGACUUCAAAGCCCAUGUGCUCAGCAGUUGUCCCACUGCAUUUUCCAUCUCUCCCUUUGCAUUCUGUACAGAGUUGCAAGAUGCUUUCCAAACUACAUCUGGCUAGCGCAGAGGAGGAGCGUGUCAGGGGUAAUCCUUCUCCUCCGCUGCUUAUUGAGCAAUUAGGCCACUAAAAAAGAUCUUAUUUACAGAUACUUGAAGAGGCUGUAAUUUACUAGGUUUUGUAAUAAAUUUCAAUCCAUCAGGAGGUAGCCAGAGGCAAGUCUGGAGUUUUAGCAGCGGCUAAUUUGUGGCUUCACUCCUGGGAUAGAAACAGGAUUUGAAAAGUUCCCAAUACUAAAGGAAUUUGUUUAAAUCUCUGGUCCCAGAAAAAAAUGAAUGCUUGCUUUAAAAGUUGUCUGAAAGUGAAAUUUCUCACUGUAGAAUCCAUCCUUAAUAUAAUUGGAAUAAUUAACUGAACUGCUAUAAUUUACCCAGCAUGCCUCUCCGUGGGCUGAGCCUUUAAAUUUGGCAGAUAGAGGCAGCUGUGGUUCUCAAAGUGUUCUACAAAGCUGGUUUCAGCUCCACUCCUCCUUUCUGGUAAGGCUUUUUUAGCUCUUGCUGGGAAAGUUUCUGUGUUUGGGGCAAAAGUUUUUCCCUUCUCACAUGGUAUUACUGUAAAACUUGGCAUACCAAGUAGCAGCUAAUGAAUAAGUUCCCAUUUCUUUCUGAAAGCUGUGUGCUUCUACAGGACAUAAAUUGCAAUAUUUUGUUACUGUGUUUUUAAAGUUUCAUCUUGUAAAGAAGUCUUCUCUGGAAUUAUUAUUUUCAGUAGUUUCUAGCAAAUGCUGUUUAUGUAUGCUGUGUUUUAAUCUUGUGCACUUUUAGUAGAGGAUCUCAAAUUGAUCUGUUGACUAGAAUGUGGAUUUAGUGUCCGAUUUGAAGCAGAUGCUUAUUCAACUCUGGGACAAGAACAGUGAUGACUGAAUGUUGUUAUCAUUUGAUUGUUACUGAGUGGUUUAAGUGAACUAAGGUUUUGCAAUAUCAGUCAAUUUUUCUGUGGGCUGCUUUCUAUGUAACACUUGGCACCCUUGCUGGCCUUUAUUAGUGAAGUGUUCAAUGUACCAUAGAAAAGCAACCUCUUAGGUCAGGUGUGAGGUAUAUUGGCAAGAUUCAGAGUGUUGUACUAUUAUUGCUUACAUUUUAUCUGUUACUUCUAUGCCUAAAGUUCUCUAGCAACAUCAAAGAGUCAUUCAGAAAGGCUGAAUCAACAUGAAGGAUUUAUAAACUGCAGAAACUCUGCUUCCAGAGAUGUUUUAAAAGUGUUAUUGAUGGCAAUAUGUAAAUAAAGAGGAAACCAGAAGAACAAGAAGCCUAGCUGAUUUCAGUUUAAUUGAAAGUACUACUAAAGAGGGGAGAGGGUGGCAGACUUAUCGAAGGGAUAAGGAGAAAAUGGGUAAAGAAUAUAAUGGUAGUUGUAAGCUGCUGUGAAACAAUACAGAAAAUUGUUUUUAUUUUUUUUGGUUUAUUUGGAUAGUUUGUUGGUUUUAUAAUGAAUCAUGCAGAAAUACAUUAGAAAAAACAACAGCGAAGAACUGCAGUGAAAUACUGUGGAGAUUCAUAAUGCUGUGGAAAUGUACAAGUGCAAAAAUACGUUGUUCUAUUCUCAUUGGAUGUUCAUGGCUACAACCUGGUUUAUCUCCGUACAUCUCACACCAAUGGGUAUAAGUCUACAGGCUAUAAGAAUGACUGUGCAUUUUGCUGGAGAA